RNAcentral lists this ribosomal RNA (430 nucleotides) under uncultured Bacillus sp. RNAcentral's name for it is "bacterial SSU rRNA". It matches the Rfam family "Bacterial small subunit ribosomal RNA", at positions 354 to 776 of the family's 1533-position model. Lineage: Bacteria; Bacillati; Bacillota; Bacilli; Caryophanales; Bacillaceae. The record is from RNAcentral.
GUAGGGAAUCUUCCGCAAUGGACGAAAGUCUGACGGAGCAACGCCGCGUGAGUGAUGAAGGCCUUCGGGUCGUAAAACUCUGUUGUUAGGGAAGAACAAGUAUCGGAGUAACUGCCGGUACCUUGACGGUACCUAACCAGAAAGCCACGGCUAACUACGUGCCAGCAGCCGCGGUAAUACGUAGGUGGCAAGCGUUGUCCGGAAUUAUUGGGCGUAAAGCGCGCGCAGGCGGUCCUUUAAGUCUGAUGUGAAAGCCCACGGCUCAACCGUGGAGGGUCAUUGGAAACUGGGGGACUUGAGUGCAGAAGAGGAAAGCGGAAUUCCACGUGUAGCGGUGAAAUGCGUAGAGAUGUGGAGGAACACCAGUGGCGAAGGCGGCUUUCUGGUCUGUAACUGACGCUGAGGCGCGAAAGCGUGGGGAGCAAACAGG